GAAUUUUAUAUUUUAAUUUUUAUUUUUAGUGUUAUAAUUUAAAAUUAAAAUAUUUUAUUGGGAGGAUAAUUAAAUUUGAUAAACUUUAAGAAAAUAAAUACAUAAAUUAAUGAUUUAUAAAAAAUUAAUAAAUAAUAUUUAAUAAAAAAUUAAUUACCUUAGGGAUAACAGCAUAAUAUUUUUUUGUAGUUCAUAUAUAAAAAAAUGAUUGU
This 212-nucleotide ribosomal RNA is filed under the name Hypoponera sp. 13.FGSGt. Its description in RNAcentral is "partial large subunit ribosomal RNA". The record is from RNAcentral. Lineage: Eukaryota; Metazoa; Arthropoda; Insecta; Hymenoptera; Formicidae.